RNAcentral lists this long non-coding RNA (1116 nucleotides) under Junco hyemalis (dark-eyed junco). RNAcentral describes it as "lncRNA (ENSJHYG00000008897.1)". The record is from RNAcentral. Lineage: Eukaryota; Metazoa; Chordata; Aves; Passeriformes; Passerellidae.
UGAAUAGGGUUAGUACUUGAAGCACUAAAAUGUUCUUACCUCUUGAAAAACAAACAAGUUGAGUGUUAUAAAGCACCAUAAAGUUUGUGUCUGAAGAAAGCAAUUUGUUGGCAUAAGAAGUUAUUGCCCACAAUAAUAAACCUGUUGAUCAGUGGUUUCAGUUUGUGGUCUGCAGAUUUCUCAAGUUCUGUGAACUGAAAAAGGGUUCAUGAAAAAUAAUUAAGAACAGCCAGCCUGUUGUUUUGAAAGAAAAAAAAUGUUUAGAGCUUGCAGCUUUAAAGAAGGCUAAGAUAUAGACAGAUGGGCACAGUGCUUCUGUCCUGUGUGGGAGGUGCAGCUGGGAGAGGGAGCUGGCAGAUCUAACAUUCUCAGGCUACUCAGUGUGGUUUUGAUAAAACUGCAACCCCAGUGGAUUUUAGUCUGCCUUUACAAUUCUUUUCUCUAUUUUCCUUAAUAACAAUUUUUAAAAUGUGUUUACUUACUCCCCUGCUGUAGAUUUUUUAUCAAACUGCAGAAAACAUAGGAAAGUACCUUCUGUAUUUAUACAGAAUUUCUGUUUCUGCUAUGCAUGCAAAUAGUUAUUGAAUUUACUGAAAGAUAAAACUUAACUCAUUUGUCAGAACAUAAUUUUAUUGUUAUUUGAUUUUUUUUUUAGUGCAGUCAAGUUCCCUGUCAGCUUAAAAGAACCAUAGAAAGACUGAAAGUUUCCUUUGAGAAUGAUCCAGCAAGAACCCAUAUUUCUCUGAUGGAGAAAAACAUGAAUCACAUAACAUCAACUUUAAAGAAAACACAUAAACAACCCCAGAAGAUCAUUCCCUGUCCAAUGAAAGACCUGACCCUACAGGAUGCCCUGGAUCACUUCAAGGAAUAUUUUCAGAAGGUAAAUGAGAACUGCUGGAAGUCCUGAUGAUAGGUGUUGGCAGCCCAAAUACUUGGAGACAACUCUUACCCAACACUAGAGCUGGUUCUGAUGGAAGACAGAGCACCACAAAGAGACACCACAACAUUAACAUGAAUGUUUCAUAUAUGAGUUUUCAGAUAUUUAUGUCUUAUUGCAAUUAUUAGCGUAUUUAUUUAAUUUAUAGAGUGCUUCUAUAUUUUUACCUUAAUGUUCAA